AACAGAUGAAAGCAAAAGCAAAGAAAACCUGUUGAGCAUAUACAGCAUUCUGGUUGUAAUUUCUUUAAGUGAUCAUCUACAAUGGAUGAGCUGCUGGUGAACACUCUGAUGGACCUGGACCGUGAUCAGCUGAACAGAUUCCAGUGGCAUCUAAGGAAGCAUAAGGUGGAUGACAUUGAGCCCAUCAAAAUAGCUCAGUUGGAAGAUGGUGCAAGCAGGGAGAAGACUGUGGAUCUGAUGGUGGCCAAAUACAAAGUGAAGGCUCCGGUCGUCAUGCAGGCUAUCCUGUUGAAAAUGUGCCAGAACUUCCUUGCUGAAAAGUUACAGAUAAAUGCAGAAAAUGUCAAUUGAGAAUGGAGCAGGCGCCGUGGGGGUGAUGACUGCUGCUCCAGCUGAGGAGGAAGUCCCUAAAGUAUAAAUACCUAGUGCAUUAUAUACUCUAUAGUAGGCUAACAAUGUAUUGAUACUAACACAGAUUAUGACUUGAGGGAAAGUCAAGUGUUCCCUUUUCAAAAUCACUCAAGUAAAUGUUUUUAUUAAAUAUUAACUAUUAUUUAGUUACUAGGUAUUAAGUAAACACCCUUACAUGAAUUGACUGCUUUAUGCUAUACACCAAGUAUAACAGAAGUAUCAGUGAUUGUUCUGAAUCGAGAAUAAACAAUAAAACAACAA
Molecule: long non-coding RNA, 672 nt
Organism: Coregonus clupeaformis (lake whitefish)
Lineage: Eukaryota; Metazoa; Chordata; Actinopteri; Salmoniformes; Salmonidae
Exons: 3
Source: RefSeq, a predicted model, not a curated record